Lupinus albus (white lupine) is the source of this 237-nucleotide non-coding RNA. Lineage: Eukaryota; Viridiplantae; Streptophyta; Magnoliopsida; Fabales; Fabaceae. The record is from the annotation of a GenBank genome assembly.
CUUUACUUAGUACCGACAAAUAGGAACAUUAUCAAUCCCGUUUAAUCGAUGAUCAACAUUAUACAUAUGAAUUUCCUAUUCGUUCUCUAUGCAAUACACAUGUUGUCUUUUUUCUAUCGCUACAAGUUCACUUGAUAGAUUAAAUAUUAUGUCUCUCUUGUACUUAAUUGAAUGUGUUAUGUUUUUCUCUCUUAAAAUGCCAUGACAUGUUAGUUUGAGUGUCUAUGAAGUAUCGGA